AGUCCUGAGGUAUUCACGUCAGAUUGCAAAUCUGAAGAAGCGGCCUAAUACCCGCCGGGGCUU
This 63-nucleotide transfer RNA is filed under the name Poeciliopsis monacha x Poeciliopsis latidens. RNAcentral's name for it is "Poeciliopsis monacha x P. latidens tRNA-Cys". Lineage: Eukaryota; Metazoa; Chordata; Actinopteri; Cyprinodontiformes; Poeciliidae. The record is from RNAcentral.